GGUCAUGUGGCCUAGUGGUCAUGGCAUCUGCCCGGUAAGCGGAAGGUCGUGGGUUCGAUUGACACUUUUUUUU
Non-coding RNA from Cordylochernes scorpioides, 73 nucleotides. NCBI's taxonomy places the organism in Eukaryota, Metazoa, Arthropoda, Arachnida, Pseudoscorpiones, Chernetidae. The record is from the annotation of a GenBank genome assembly.